This 582-nucleotide ribosomal RNA is filed under the name Halomonas sp. SK7C1. Its description in RNAcentral is "bacterial SSU rRNA". It matches the Rfam family "Bacterial small subunit ribosomal RNA", at positions 9 to 581 of the family's 1533-position model. Lineage: Bacteria; Pseudomonadati; Pseudomonadota; Gammaproteobacteria; Oceanospirillales; Halomonadaceae. The record is from RNAcentral.
GAGUUUGAUCAUGGCUCAGAUUGAACGCUGGCGGCAGGCCUAACACAUGCAAGUCGAGCGGAAACGAUGGAAGCUUGCUUCCAGGCGUCGAGCGGCGGACGGGUGAGUAAUGCAUAGGAAUCCGCCCGGUAGUGGGGGAUAACCUGGGGAAACCCAGGCUAAUACCGCAUACGUCCUACGGGAGAAAGCAGGGGAUCUUCGGACCUUGCGCUAUCGGAUGAGCCUAUGUCGGAUUAGCUAGUUGGUGAGGUAAUGGCUCACCAAGGCGACGAUCCGUAGCUGGUCUGAAAGGAUGAUCAGCCACAUCGGGACUGAGACACGGCCCGAACUCCUACGGGAGGCAGCAGUGGGGAAUAUUGGACAAUGGGCGAAAGCCUGAUCCAGCCAUGCCGCGUGUGUGAAGAAGGCUUUCGGGUUGUAAAGCACUUUCAGUGGGGAAGAAAUCCUCGGGGCCAAUACCCUCGAGGGAGGACAUCACCCACAGAAGAAGCACCGGCUAACUCCGUGCCAGCAGCCGCGGUAAUACGGAGGGGUGCGAGCGUUAAUCGGAAUUACUGGGCGUAAAGCGCGCGUAGGCGGCGU